GCACAAGCAGCGGAGCGUGUGGUUUAAUUCGAUGCUACACGAAGAACCUUACCAGGGUUUGACAUACAAGUGGUAGAGAAGCGAAAGCGGACGACCUUCGGGAGCUUUGUACAGGUGCUGCAUGGCUGUCGUCAGCUCGUGUCGUGAGAUGUUGGGUUAAGUCCCGCAACGAGCGCAACCCUUAUCAUUAGUUGCUACGCAAGGGCACUCUAAUGAGACUGCCGGUGACAAACCGGAGGAAGGUGGGGAUGACGUCAAGUCCUCAUGGCCCUUAUGGGUAGGGCUUCACACGUCAUACAAUGGUCGGUACAGAGGGUUGCCAAGCCGCGAGGCGGAGCCAAUCCCACAAAGCCGAUCGUAGUCCGGAUUGUUCUCUGCAACUCGAGAGCAUGAAGUCGGAAUCGCUAGUAAUCGCAGGUCAGCAUACUGCGGUGAAUACGUUCCCGGGUCUU
Molecule: ribosomal RNA, 452 nt
Filed under: uncultured Thiobacillus sp.
Lineage: Bacteria; Pseudomonadati; Pseudomonadota; Betaproteobacteria; Nitrosomonadales; Thiobacillaceae
Description: bacterial SSU rRNA
Rfam family: Bacterial small subunit ribosomal RNA
Source: RNAcentral